RNAcentral lists this ribosomal RNA (499 nucleotides) under uncultured bacterium. RNAcentral's name for it is "partial 16S ribosomal RNA". It matches the Rfam family "Bacterial small subunit ribosomal RNA", at positions 30 to 523 of the family's 1533-position model. The record is from RNAcentral.
AUUGAACGCUGGCGGAAUGCUUUACACAUGCAAGUCGAACGGCGGCACGGACUUCGGUCUGGUGGCGAGUGGCGAACGGGUGAGUAUGCAUCGGAACGUGCCCAAUCGUGGGGGAUAACGUAGCGAAAGUUACGCUAAUACCGCAUACGAUCUAAGGAUGAAAGCGGGGGAUCGCAAGACCUCGCGCGAAUGGAGCGGCCGAUGUUAGAUUAGGUAGUUGGUGGGGUAAAGGCUCACCAAGCCGACGAUCUAUAGCUGGUCUGAGAGGAUGAUCAGCCACACUGGGACUGCGACACGGCCCAGACUCCUACGGGAGGCAGCAGUGGGGAAUUUUGGACAAUGGGCGCAAGCCUGAUCCAGCCAUGCCGCGUGCAGGAUGAAGGCCUUCGGGUUGUAAACUGCUUUUGUACGGAACGAAAAGGUUUGGCCUAAUGCGCUGAACUCAUGACGGUACCGUAAGAAUAAGCACCGGCUAACUACGUGCCAGCCGCCGCCGUAA